Molecule: ribosomal RNA, 2562 nt
Filed under: Escherichia coli
Lineage: Bacteria; Pseudomonadati; Pseudomonadota; Gammaproteobacteria; Enterobacterales; Enterobacteriaceae
Description: partial 23S ribosomal RNA
Rfam family: Bacterial large subunit ribosomal RNA
Source: RNAcentral
GCCCCGUACACAAAAAUGCACAUACUGUGAGCUCGAUGAGUAGGGCGGGACACGUGGUAUCCUGUCUGAAUAUGGGGGGACCAUCCUCCAAGGCUAAAUACUCCUGACUGACCGAUAGUGAACCAGUACCGUGAGGGAAAGGCGAAAAGAACCCCGGCGAGGGGAGUGAAAAAGAACCUGAAACCGUGUACGUACAAGCAGUGGGAGCACGCUUAGGCGUGUGACUGCGUACCUUUUGUAUAAUGGGUCAGCGACUUAUAUUCUGUAGCAAGGUUAACCGAAUAGGGGAGCCGAAGGGAAACCGAGUCUUAACUGGGCGUUAAGUUGCAGGGUAUAGACCCGAAACCCGGUGAUCUAGCCAUGGGCAGGUUGAAGGUUGGGUAACACUAACUGGAGGACCGAACCGACUAAUGUUGAAAAAUUAGCGGAUGACUUGUGGCUGGGGGUGAAAGGCCAAUCAAACCGGGAGAUAGCUGGUUCUCCCCGAAAGCUAUUUAGGUAGCGCCUCGUGAAUUCAUCUCCGGGGGUAGAGCACUGUUUCGGCAAGGGGGUCAUCCCGACUUACCAACCCGAUGCAAACUGCGAAUACCGGAGAAUGUUAUCACGGGAGACACACGGCGGGUGCUAACGUCCGUCGUGAAGAGGGAAACAACCCAGACCGCCAGCUAAGGUCCCAAAGUCAUGGUUAAGUGGGAAACGAUGUGGGAAGGCCCAGACAGCCAGGAUGUUGGCUUAGAAGCAGCCAUCAUUUAAAGAAAGCGUAAUAGCUCACUGGUCGAGUCGGCCUGCGCGGAAGAUGUAACGGGGCUAAACCAUGCACCGAAGCUGCGGCAGCGACGCUGAUGCGUUGUUGGGUAGGGGAGCGUUCUGUAAGCCUGUGAAGGUGUGCUGUGAGGCAUGCUGGAGGUAUCAGAAGUGCGAAUGCUGACAUAAGUAACGAUAAAGCGGGUGAAAAGCCCGCUCGCCGGAAGACCAAGGGUUCCUGUCCAACGUUAAUCGGGGCAGGGUGAGUCGACCCCUAAGGCGAGGCCGAAAGGCGUAGUCGAUGGGAAACAGGUUAAUAUUCCUGUACUUGGUGUUACUGCGAAGGGGGGACGGAGAAGGCUAUGUUGGCCGGGCGACGGUUGUCCCGGUUUAAGCGUGUAGGCUGGUUUUCCAGGCAAAUCCGGAAAAUCAAGGCUGAGGCGUGAUGACGAGGCACUACGGUGCUGAAGCAACAAAUGCCCUGCUUCCAGGAAAAGCCUCUAAGCAUCAGGUAACAUCAAAUCGUACCCCAAACCGACACAGGUGGUCAGGUAGAGAAUACCAAGGCGCUUGAGAGAACUCGGGUGAAGGAACUAGGCAAAAUGGUGCCGUAACUUCGGGAGAAGGCACGCUGAUAUGUAGGUGAAGCGACUUGCUCGUGGAGCUGAAAUCAGUCGAAGAUACCAGCUGGCUGCAACUGUUUAUUAAAAACACAGCACUGUGCAAACACGAAAGUGGACGUAUACGGUGUGACGCCUGCCCGGUGCCGGAAGGUUAAUUGAUGGGGUCAGCGCAAGCGAAGCUCUUGAUCGAAGCCCCGGUAAACGGCGGCCGUAACUAUAACGGUCCUAAGGUAGCGAAAUUCCUUGUCGGGUAAGUUCCGACCUGCACGAAUGGCGUAAUGAUGGCCAGGCUGUCUCCACCCGAGACUCAGUGAAAUUGAACUCGCUGUGAAGAUGCAGUGUACCCGCGGCAAGACGGAAAGACCCCGUGAACCUUUACUAUAGCUUGACACUGAACAUUGAGCCUUGAUGUGUAGGAUAGGUGGGAGGCUUUGAAGUGUGGACGCCAGUCUGCAUGGAGCCGGCCUUGAAAUACCACCCUUUAAUGUUUGAUGUUCUAACGUUGACCCGUGAUCCGGGUUGCGGACAGUGUCUGGUGGGUAGUUUGACUGGGGCGGUCUCCUCCUAAAGAGUAACGGAGGAGCACGAAGGUUGGCUAAUCCUGGUCGGACAUCAGGAGGUUAGUGCAAUGGCAUAAGCCAGCUUGACUGCGAGCGUGACGGCGCGAGCAGGUGCGAAAGCAGGUCAUAGUGAUCCGGUGGUUCUGAAUGGAAGGGCCAUCGCUCAACGGAUAAAAGGUACUCCGGGGAUAACAGGCUGAUACCGCCCAAGAGUUCAUAUCGACGGCGGUGUUUGGCACCUCGAUGUCGGCUCAUCACAUCCUGGGGCUGAAGUAGGUCCCAAGGGUAUGGCUGUUCGCCAUUUAAAGUGGUACGCGAGCUGGGUUUAGAACGUCGUGAGACAGUUCGGUCCCUAUCUGCCGUGGGCGCUGGAGAACUGAGGGGGGCUGCUCCUAGUACGAGAGGACCGGAGUGGACGCAUCACUGGUGUUCGGGUUGUCAUGCCAAUGGCACUGCCCGGUAGCUAAAUGCGGAAGAGAUAAGUGCUGAAAGCAUCUAAGCACGAAACUUGCCCCGAGAUGAGUUCUCCCUGACUCCUUGAGAGUCCUGAAGGAACGUUGAAGACGACGACGUUGAUAGGCCGGGUGUGUAAGCGCAGCGAUGCGUUGAGCUAACCGGUACUAAUGAACCGUGAG